This 1280-nucleotide ribosomal RNA is filed under the name metagenome. Its description in RNAcentral is "bacterial LSU rRNA". It matches the Rfam family "Bacterial large subunit ribosomal RNA", at positions 1631 to 2925 of the family's 2925-position model. The record is from RNAcentral.
GGCAUGAUUACCUGUACCCGAAACCGACACAGGUGGGGUGGUAGAGAAUACCGAGGGGCGCGAGGUAACUCUCUCUAAGGAACUCGGCAAAAUGACCCCGUAACUUCGGGAGAAGGGGUGCCAGCGCGAGCUGGCCGCAGUGAAUAGGCCCAGGCGACUGUUUACCAAAAACACAGGUCUCCGCUAAGUCGCAAGACGAUGUAUGGGGGCUGACGCCUGCCCAGUGCCGGAAGGUUAAAGAAGUUGGUCAGCGCAAGCGAAGCUAACGACUGAAGCCCCGGUGAACGGCGGCCGUAACGAUAACGGUCCUAAGGUAGCGAAAUUCCUUGUCGGGUAAGUUCCGACCCGCACGAAAGGCGUAACGAUCUGGGCGCUGUCUCGGAGAGAGGCUCGGCGAGAUAGAAUUGUCUGUGAAGAUGCGGACUACGUGCACCCGGACAGAAAGACCCUAUGAAGCUUUACUGUAGCUUGGUAUUGUGCUCGGGCUCGCAAUGCGCAGGAUAGGUGGGAGGCUUUGAUCCAUUGCUUGUGGGUGAUGGUGAGCCACUGGUGAGAUACCACUCUUUGCGAGCUAGGGUUCUAACGGUUACCCGUCAUCCGGGAACCGGACAGUAUCUGGUGGGCAGUUUGACUGGGGCGGUCGCCUCCUAAAAGGUAACGGAGGCGCGCAAAGGUUUGCUCAGGCUGGUUGGAAAUCAGCCGACGAGUGUAAAAGCAGAAGCAAGCUUGACUGUGAGACCUACAAGUCGAACAGGGAGGAAACUCGGCUUUAGUGAUCCGACGGUUCUGAGUGGAAGGGCCGUCGCUCAACGGAUAAAAGUUACUCUAGGAUAACAGGCUGAUCUCCCCCAAGAGUUCACAUCGACGGGGAGGUUUGGCACCUGGAUGUCGGCUCAUCGCAACCUGGGGCUGAAGUCGGUCCCAAGGGUUGGGCUGUUCGCCCAUUAAAGCGGUACGCGAGCUGGGUUCAGAACGUCGUGAGACAGUUCGGUCCAUAUCCGGUGCAUGCGCAGGAAUAUUGAGAGGAUUUCUCCCUAGUACGAGAGGACCGGGAGGAACGCACCUCUGGUGUACCAGUUAUCGUGCCAACGGUAAACGCUGGGUGGCCAUGUGCGGAGUGGAUAACCGCUGAAAGCAUCUAAGUGGGAAGCCCACCUCAAGAUGAGUAUUCCCAUGGCUUAAGCCAGUAAGGUCACGGGAAGAACACCCGUUGAUAGGCUCUAUGUGGAAGCGCAGUAAUGCGUGAAGCAGAGGAGUACUAAUAGACCGAGGGCUUGACC